UACAGAGGGUGCAAGCGUUAUUCGGAAUUACUGGGCGUAAAGCGUGCGUAGACGGUAUCGUAAGUCGGGUGUGAAAGCCCCGGGCUCAACCUGGGAAUUGCAUUCGAGACUGCAUGGCUAGGGUGCGGAAGAGGGAAGCGGAAUUUCCGGUGUAGCGGUGAAAUGCGUAGAUAUCGGAAGGAACACCAGUGGCGAAAGCGGCUUCCUGGUCCAGCACCGACGUUCAGGCACGAAAGCGUGGGGAGCAAACAGG
Molecule: ribosomal RNA, 253 nt
Filed under: uncultured bacterium
Lineage: Bacteria
Description: partial 16S ribosomal RNA
Rfam family: Bacterial small subunit ribosomal RNA
Source: RNAcentral